This 500-nucleotide ribosomal RNA is filed under the name uncultured bacterium. RNAcentral describes it as "partial 16S ribosomal RNA". It matches the Rfam family "Bacterial small subunit ribosomal RNA", at positions 30 to 523 of the family's 1533-position model. The record is from RNAcentral.
AUUGAACGCUGGCGGAAUGCUUUACACAUGCAAGUCGAACGGCAGCACGGACUUCGGUCUGGUGGCGAGUGGCGAACGGGUGAGUAAUGUAUCGGAACGUGCCCAGUCGUGGGGGAUAACGUAGUGAAAAUUACGCUAAUACAGCAUACGAUCUAUGGAUGAAAGCGGGGGAUCGCCAGACCUCGCGCGAUGGGAGCGGCCUAUAUCAGAGUAGGUAGUUGGUGGGGUAAAGGCCCACCAAGCCAACGAUCUGUAGCUGGUCUGAGAGGACGACCAGCCACACUGGAACUGAGACACGGUCCAGACUCCUACGGGAGGCAGCAGUGGGGAAUUUUGGACAAUGGGCGAAAACCUGAUCCAGCCAUUCCGCGUGCAGGAUGAAGGCCCUCGGGUUGUAAACUGCUUUUGUACAGAACGAAAAGGUUUCUACUAAUACUAGGAGCUCAUGACGGUACUGUAAGAAUAAGCACCGGCUAACUACGUGCCAGCCGCCGCAGUAA